GAGAAGAAAUAGGACAAGAAGAAAAAAUACUCUCUUCAGACGGUACCGGAGGCUUCAGAAUAGUAAUCGCUGUGUUUCACUCCAGCCUGAACCAACGCCCCUACAGUCCACGCUCACCGAACGGCAGUCCACACCGUUCAACAACAUUGACCCAUAUAUAAAUUAAUGAGCGAAAAAUAAUUGCAAUUUAAAAGGCUGUAAAAUAAGCAAUUCGCUGUUUCUACAACUAAAUUGAAAGAUAAAACAAGACGCAGACGCCCAUUAAAUAAGAUAUCUCCAUUUUUAUUGCAAUGUACAUUCGUUAUAUAAAGUUGAAUAAUAAUUAACCUUUUACUUGAAUUCACAAACCUUUUUUUUCUGUGAUUCUCUAUUCGACUGUUAUUUUAACCGAGUCCAAAACUGAGGGUGUUCUUCGUUCGUUUGUCAAGUCAUCAUUUAUCAUCUUAGUUAACAUUAUUAGAGUAACAUCUUUCAUUGCGGAUAAUCCUCUAUGGGAGCAGCGGAAUUGGAAACACAAGUUACAGCAGUUGCGAAUUGAGAGGAAGGAGUGGAGGAGGGUGUCACGGUCGCCGGGUCAAUAAACUCCGCAGGCACCGCGGCAGACUGACCGCGGCAACCGACGCGCAGUGACGACAGCGUCUCGGUGUUGCCACUUCUGCUACGGAUUUAAUCGGCCACUGCAGUUAAUAUCCGGCAGCCUGGGAGUUCGGUCUGAACUCUGAAAUGCAAUCAGCUAAGGAACUAAAGCAAAAUGGAUUGGAGAACUAAGAGAAAAAAAAAUAAAAAAGCUAUAGCAAACCUCCUACUUAGGUAGUAGGAGAUUUGCUAUAGCUAUAGCUAGAGCUAAUAUCUAGUUAAUACACUAAUUAUUAUUUUUAUUAUUAUAUCAACCGUUAACUGUCCACUACUGGACUUCUCUAAAAGGAGGGGUGUUGCCAAUAGUCGCCGCGCUUGGCAGGCGGGUUGGCAACCGCAGUUAGACUUCGGUGAUGUUUUAAGAAGGACGCUAUUGCCCAUCCCGUGAGCAUUAAAUAUUCUCUUAUUGAGAAAAACGCAAAGCCAGCACUAUUACUGAGCACAGUAUAUAUUUAUAUAUCUACGAUGAAGAUUACAAUAUUUUUUUUAAAAGAAAUACUAGACUCAUAUGUUAUACUGACGAUCUUUUCAAAUUGUAAUAAACUUUUAAUUGGUGAUUUAUAUAAAUAC
This is a long non-coding RNA of Galleria mellonella (greater wax moth), 1206 nucleotides long. RefSeq lists it as uncharacterized. NCBI's taxonomy places the organism in Eukaryota, Metazoa, Arthropoda, Insecta, Lepidoptera, Pyralidae. The transcript has 3 exons. The record is from RefSeq and is a predicted model, not a curated record.